Molecule: RNA transcript, 2043 nt
Organism: Cryptomeria japonica (Japanese cedar)
Lineage: Eukaryota; Viridiplantae; Streptophyta; Pinopsida; Cupressales; Cupressaceae
Exons: 7
Source: RefSeq, a predicted model, not a curated record
GGACAAACAAACAAUUACAACUGUGUAAAAGAAAUCCAUUUGCAAGACCUUUUGAUGGAUGACACAUGAAAUUCUCCUCACGUCAGGAGAGCUACCACAUCCUCUUUCUCCCAGUCGAAUUCUGUCGACUUUAACCAGGAAUCCAGGAAUAUUCACUUCUCCAUUAGCCUUUACACCCGAAAGCAAAUUGAGGGGUAGGCCCACGGAACAACCUCCAUCCUUUUCAGGCGCUCCCUCCCUCCAGGCACUCUCAAACCGUCCUCAACCCCAAGAAACAGAGGAAUAAAAUAAACAUAUACCAACCCAACUGAUGAUAUACUGACACGGGAGAGAUUUUCCACAAUGGUGUGCAUAUUCGUUUCCUACAUCAGCAGCAACACCAUCGGCAUCACCUGCACCUCAGGGAUGCGAAGGAGGCUUCUCCCGCGCAGAUGCAAAUGGCGCUGUUCUUGCUCGUCUCUGAGGACCAAAUUGGUCCGACGCUUGACGACCCUGGGUUCGAACCCCAAACCUCUCACCACAAUCGCCGUGCACAACGUCGAUGAGGACUAUGACUUGCAACAUUCCGCGUAUCUGCCUGUAAAGAAGCGCAUGGUGAUGGGGCUCAUGACCGUGUUGUUCUGCGCGCACAAUUUCUACGUGCCCGUGAAAAUAGCAGGUGCCGCAACGUCCAAGCGUGUCAGGCUCAAGGACGUCCAGAACCCCAUGCUUCAGGAUGCUCUUAGGGCUGCCGUUUCCGGGAGUCUGGAGGACUCCGAGAGAAUAUUCUCUGACCUUAUUGCGCAGGAGCCGGAGAAUGCCAGUGUGUGGUCUAACAGGGGAAGCGUUAGGGUUUCUCUGAAUAAAUUUGAGGCGGCUGUGGAAGAUCUGUCGGAGGCUAUCAAGCUCGCUCCGCAAGCCCCCGUUCCGUUUCUCAACCGCGCCAUUGCCUACGAGGCACUUGGACGCUACCAGGAUGCAAUUGAGGACUGCAAAUCAGCAAUCGUUAAUGACCCGGAGGAGUUUGCUGCAUGGUACAAUCUGGGCAAUGUGGAUGUUAAAGUUCAGGAUUAUGAUGGAGCCUUGGUUGCAUAUGAAAGGGCUUCUACUUUAGCACCAGGAAUUGCUGGUUAUCGAUUAAAACAAGCACUAAUUCUUUUUCAGUUGAAUAGGCCUGAGGAAGCAAGAAAAUUAGUAGAAGGUCUUGUUCGUAAAUAUCCGAACUAUUCUGAGGCUCGUGCUGCGCUUGCUGCCAUCCUUUGGAGCGAGAAUCGUCGAAGUGGGGCUGAAGAGCAGUUUACACAGGCUACCAUACAGGAACCACUGUAUAGAAAUAUUGGGUGGUUAAAUGCAGAGCUUCAAUGGCCACCUAAUAUUGUUCACGCAAUGGAGAACUUCCUCUCCAUUGAAUAAUCUUCUUGGAGAUGAUCCAAUAUGGGAUGUCAGUGAAGCAGGUUAGAGGAUUAAAUGCUUCUAUCUGGUGCAUAGAGAGCCUCAUUGGAGUAUGUCAAGAAAGAUACAGAACUUAUAAUGUUGUGCUACUUUUGGAAACAUUCAAGUCCAGUGAGUGUUCAAGGAAGGAAUAGCCUUGGCACUUUGUUGUGGUUGGUUUUCAUUGUUUUUGGAAUGUGAUUUGCUGUACAAAUGACAGGAAAAUACGGUUGUGUUUACCAAUCGUUUCUAUCAUAAUUUGAAAAUGAAAUUUGAAAUGUUUCUCAAUCUACUCUAGUCACAGGUUUGUAAUAUAUGUACAAAAUUGUAAGCAACUCACUUUUACCAAUAUGUAAAACACUAGAUGAAAGAAUCUGGUAUACAUGUUUCCUGUAUGCAUCGCUGAAAGAAACAGCUUAUAUAUGUUUUAACACUUGGAAUUUAAUAAUAUCCUGGUACUGCAACAGAAAUUUCACUCCAUCGUUUGUUGUUUACCAUUUGAACAACAGAUGGUCUGGUGUUGCAGCCUCUUUUUAAGUAGAUUGCCCUUUUUGGGCUGUACAUGUUCCAUAUACAGCCAGAAGUUAUCAAGUUAUGAAAAUUGCUCUAUGCAAGUGCUGUGAGUUUAUGCUA